CCAACUCCACACAAGAUCACCCCAAAUUCACUCUAGCUAGUUCACUUGAACAGUAAUUAUAGUAUAUCAAUGAUGGAAGUUUGCAUGAACAAUGACAAGGUAAUAAAUUUCCACUCUCUCGCAUAUCAAUGACAGCUGAAAUCUGAGGGAUUUGAGAAAGAGUUUAAUGUUUGCAAAAGGAGAAAAUAAAAUUAACAUGGGAAAAUAAAACAUGCUGGUGGAGUUUUUAUGUGUGUAGUUUCAACAGUC
RNAcentral lists this unclassified non-coding RNA (249 nucleotides) under Hevea brasiliensis (rubber tree). Lineage: Eukaryota; Viridiplantae; Streptophyta; Magnoliopsida; Malpighiales; Euphorbiaceae. The record is from RNAcentral.